RNAcentral lists this long non-coding RNA (3244 nucleotides) under Macaca fascicularis (crab-eating macaque). RNAcentral's name for it is "lncRNA (ENSMFAG00000055753.1)". Lineage: Eukaryota; Metazoa; Chordata; Mammalia; Primates; Cercopithecidae. The record is from RNAcentral.
AUGGGUGACACAGCAAGACCCUGUCUCAAAAACAAACAAACAAAAUGUGGAUGUUGUAGUAAUGCCGCAAGAAAGAGACCAAGAGAAGUAGGAGGUAGUGAUCAGACACCUGGAUGCGUAAAAAUCCAGAUUCAGGAAAUGGUGGCAUUAGGACUUCACCAUGGUGAAGGAGAAGGAGAAGGAGUCUGGAAGGACGCUGACAACGGAUGGUGGUCAGGAAGGAAAACCCGUGGCCCACAGGCCAGAGGAGGAGAGAACUUCAAGGAGGGAUAUUCAGCUUCCUGUGGACCCCCAUUUGUUCAUCCAUACGAUGAUGCUCUGAGGAGCACAGGAGGAAGGUGUAAAUUGGAUAAAAUGUGCAUGACGUAAGGAGCAUAAAUCCCUCAGGAAAGAGAUGCUGCCUUUUCACUAACGUGUCCCUGAGCUGCACAGAGCAGCCCUGGGGGGACUGGGAGGCCAUGGCCCCUGUGUGAGGAGCAGGGGAAAGGUGAGCCUCAAAUGAUCACCAACAAACACCAGGGCCUGUGUCUGGGGCUUACACACGGCAUGUGGUCCCCACAGCACCAUUGCUCAGAGGAAGAAUCCAAGAUCUGGAGGGAUUGUGUAAUUUGCCCAUGUUCAACAAGUUGGUGGCAAAAUGAAGAGUGGCUCCCCUCUUUCGGACUUUAAGGCUGACGAUCUUCCAUCUGUGCUCUGGGGACAAGACUGAGGUCCACAGAUAAAACUGGGGGUGGCAUCCCCUGUCUCAUGGUCUUUACGCUCAUGGGAGCUGGGAGUGACCAUCUGAUAAGAGGGAGGGAAGGAAGGGGAGAGGCUUGAGGAAGGUUAUGGGGGUUAGGAUCUAAGAUGAAAUUUGAGACUGUAAGACUUCGGGUCGGAUGCUGUGGCUCGCACCUGUAAUCUCAGCAUCCUGGGAGGCCAUUGCUUGGGCUUGGGCCCAGGAAUUUAAGACCAGCCUAGGUAACAUAGACCCUGUUUUUACAAAACAACAACAACAACAAAAAACCAAACCAGCCAGGUAUGGUAGUGUGUGCCUGUGGUCCUAGCUACUCAGAAGGCUGAGGCAGGGGAAUUCCUUGAGGCCAGGAAUUUGAGGCUACAGUGAGCUAAGGACACACCACUGCACUCCAGCCUGGGUGACAGAGUGAGACCCUGUCUCAAAAGAAAAAACAAAGAUUUUAAGAUUGCUGCAACUCCAGAUGAAGGUAGAUCCUGGAGGCACUUUGUGGGAGAGGUCACUACAGUUGAGUAUCAAAGACUGUUGACAGAUCAGAAGUCAAGGAACUGACUGACCAGGGCAUUGGAUGGGUCAUUUAUGUGGGUGUCCAGAUUCACCAGUUUGGUGAAAAGACUCAGCAUCAAAAGGAAAUCUGGAAAGUUAGGGUCAAACUCUCUAUGAAAUCUGGGAAGAGAUUUGAAUUUUUAUGGGAAAGGCAGGGAGUGGCUAAUAGGCCCAGACUCCUUGAACCUCAGAAAUGGGGAAUGUUUUUAGUGCUUCUAAAAUGGAAAAGACUGUUAUGGCAAAGACCUGAUGCCCCAGACUGGGUUAGAGACCAUAAGCUCUCAUUCAUUCAUUCAUUCACAUGUCUGCUAAGCACCUACUGUGUACCGGGCACCAUGCUUGGAGCCUAGGGCUUCACAGAGAGAUUACAGCCUCUCUUCUCUCCAGCCAACCCAAGUCAAGAAGGCAAAAGCAUAAACUGGUAGAUGGCUUUUUUAUUUUUAUUUUUUUUGAGAUGGGGUCUGUGCCCCCCAGGCUGGAGUACAGUGGUGUGAUCUCAGCUCACUGCAACCUUCGCCUCCUGGGCUUGGCCAGUUUUUUGUAUUUUUGGUAGAGACAUGUUUCCAGCCUGGUUUCAAACUCUUGAGCUCUAGUGACCCACCCACCUUGGCCUCCCAAAGUGCUGGGAUUACAGGUGUGAGCCACUGUGCCCAGCCAAGUAAAUGCCAUUCUUAGAAAAAUACUGUCAUUGGCAUAAAAUAUAAAUCAUGACGGGGCACCAAGGAGUGCAGGCUCAAUCAGGCCCUGGCCACAGGCCUCUCUCUGAGCUGGAAUGGCAAUACUUCCCUUCCCGACUGGCAUGAGCUGCUUCUGCCAUGUACUUUCUAGUGUUUGUCACUCAAGUGCCUCGUCCUUUCCUAAGGAAUAAUUUCCAGGCCAGGCGCAGUAGCUCACACCUGUAAUCCCAGCACUUUGGGAGGCCAAGGAGGGUGGAUCACCUGAGGUCAGGAGUUUGGGACCAGCCUGCCCAACAUGGUGAAAACCCAUCUCUACUAAAAACACAAAAAUUAGGCGGAUGUGGUGGUGAUUGCCUGUAAUCCCAGCUACUCGGGAGACUGAGGCACGAGAAUCACUUGAACCUGGGAGGCAGAGUUUACAUUGAGCUGAGAUCAUGCCACUGCACUCCAGCCUGGGCGACAGAGCAAGUUCUGCCUCAAAAAAAAAAAAAAAAAAAAGGAAUUUUCCACAGAACUAAGACGUAAAUCUUAGGGCACAUAACUUUCAUCAAGGGGGAAAAGGGAUUGCACUCUUGUUGAAACUCCAGCCUCCUUCUUUAGCCAAUAUUUAGCCAGGUGCUGUGGUUCACACCUGUAAUCCCAGCACUUUGGGAGGCUGAGGCCAGAGGAUAGCUGAGUCCAGGAGCUCAAGACCAACCUGGGCAAUACAGAGAGCCGGUCUCUCUCUCUCUCUCUCUCUCUCUCUCUCUCUCUCUCUCUCUCUCUCUCUCUCUAUUUAUUUAUUUGAGUCGGAGUCUUGCUCUUGUCACCAGGCUGGAGUUCAGUGGCGCAAUCUCGGCUCACUGCAACCUCCUCCUCCCAGGUUCAAAUGAUUCUCCUGCCUCAGCCUCCCGAGUCGCUGGGACUACAGGCGCACACCACCAUGCCCGGCUAAUUCUUUUGUAUUUUCAGUAGAGAUGGGGUUUCCCCAUGUUGGCCAGGAUGGUCUCGAUCUCUUGACGUCGUGAUCCACCCGCCUCGGCCUCCCAAAGUGGUGGGAUUACAGGCAUGAGCCACCGCGCCCGGCCACCGGUCUCUAUUUUAGAAAGAAAAAAAGUGUUCUGCAGUCUCCCUAGUUCUGCGCCCUCAACCCUGAUCUCCUGCCUCCUCCCACAGCCACCCUCUUGAGCUCAGCUUCAACCAUGGCCCUCCCCACAGGGCUCCAUCCCAAGCCAGAGCGGGUCAGCUCCCUACACAGGGCCCAGCAACACGGUGCCCAAGAAAAAGUGUUUCCAAUGGGACGCAC